UAGGGAAUCUUCGGCAAUGGACGAAAGUCUGCCCGAGCAACGCCGCGUGAGUGAAGAAGGUUUUCGGAUCGUAAAACUCUGUUGUUUGAGAAGAACAAGGACGUUAGUAACUGAACGUCCCCUGACGGUAUCUAACCAGAAAGCCACGGCUAACUACGUGCCAGCAGCCGCGGUAAUACGUAGGUGGCAAGCGUUGUCCGGAUCUAUUGGGCGUAAAGCGAGCGCAGGCGGUUUCUUAAGUCUGAUGUGAAAGCCCCCGGCUCAACCGGGGAGGGUCAUUGGAAACUGGGAGACUUGAGUGCAGAAGAGGAGAGUGGAAUUCCAUGUGUAGCGGUGAAAUGCGUAGAUAUAUGGAGGAACACCAGUGGCGAAGGCGGCUCUCUGGUCUGUAACUGACGCUGAGGCUAGAAAGCGUGGGGAGCAAACAGG
This 429-nucleotide ribosomal RNA is filed under the name Gemmatimonadota bacterium. RNAcentral's name for it is "Gemmatimonadetes bacterium partial 16S ribosomal RNA". It matches the Rfam family "Bacterial small subunit ribosomal RNA", at positions 355 to 776 of the family's 1533-position model. Lineage: Bacteria; Pseudomonadati; Gemmatimonadota. The record is from RNAcentral.